GCCGGCCCGUGCUGAGAACAGGAUGCGGGGCCGGAGGCCGGGGGGUCGCAGAUUCGCCUCUCUUCCACCCCCGCCCCCGCCCCCGCGUGCUGGGAACCGCCCUCUUGCCCAUUCCCUGCGCUUGAGCCUUUGUGCUGCCUUUGGCAGCUGCUCCUAGCGGCGAAGUUUCUGCCUCGCCACUCGGCAGAGUGUUUUGAACUCACAGAGGUAGAAAUGAGGGCUGGGAGGGACCUCAGGGGGUCACAUCUAGUCCAACCCCUGCUCACCGCAGGGCCAGCCCCAGCUAGACCAUCCCAGCCAAGGCGUUGUCUGGCCGGGUUUUGAAACCCCCCAAGGGUGGAGGCAGUCCAACAAAGUUCCGUUUGUUUCUGCUUCAACCGAGUAGACGGGCCCGUGGCCACUAGCGUAGUAGUAAGGCUUCGACUUUAUCUCUAAUUGGAGAAAGAUAUGUGUUAUUUUAGAUUUGCUGAUGCACCACACCAUUUGCAUGCCCCUUUUCCAAAUUCUGGAUCUGCCCAUGCCUGCGUGUACUCGUUUCAGGUGGUUUUCACAGUGUUUGAGACUCUUGAGGGCAAGGGAGGGGCGCGGGUAUGAUUUACCAACCUAUAGAGUAGUGCUCCAAAGAGCAAUUUGGUCAUUUUGCAAAAUUCACUUUCACACAGAGCAGAUGGCCUGCCACGCUGGUCUGUGUCCUGUAUCUCGGGCUGGAGCGAGCGCUGGGCCUGCACUGACUAGUUCCUCACUCUGUCCUGACAUGCCCUCUGCUCCCUGUGUGCUUGGUCACUAGUGUAACUAAACAGAUUUUCUGCUCUUUGUGGAGUUAGUUAUGUCAGUAACUCUGCCCACUGCAGCUUACGCUCAUGUGGCAGGACUGAAAUCUGUCAGUGUAAGUGUAACCAAAGCAACGCUUCUACUGCAGUUUUGUAUUGCAGAAAUUUUAUCCUGCUCUUUUUUGGGGGGGAGGAGGAAAGCUUUUCUUUUCUCAUUGAAAGGAGUGACCCAGUCCUGUGUUUGUCCCUGUUGUCUUGUCUUCUUUCUGCUCAGUUUUCUACAGUAACUUGCAAUGAAUAGGAAUUGACAAAAGUCACAUAAUAAGGGCUCUAGGUCAGGGGUAUCAAAGGUAUGGCCUGUGGGCGAGAUCCAGCACACACAGCCCUGUUUUCUAGCCUGCAGUGCUUGCCCUGGGUCCAGAGUUGACACAUGCUCUGCACACAGCACAUGCCAGACCAGCCCCCUGCACAGGGCUCUGAACAUGUACCGCAAGUGAUGCCUGCUUCAGCUGGCCUAGGACCCGUGCUGCAUGCUGCAUCUGCUCAGCUAGUCCAGGACAUGUGCCGCACAUGGAGGCGGGUUCAGGAUAUGUGCUGCAUGCAGUGCCUCCUCUGACAGGCCUCAGGUAUUACAUGCAGUGUGAGUCCCAGAGCAAGCACCAUAUGCUGCGUGUAUCUUAGACCAGCCCCACACAGGUGCCAUGUGCAGCACAGUUCUGGACUGGCCAAAGCAGGUGCCAUGUGUGCUGGAUUUGGCAUGUGUGGGGAGAGAGUCUGUGUGUUUGGCCUGGCCCAGGGGACAGCCCUGCACCAUUCAUCUGGCCCACGGACCAGCCUGAUACAACUCAUCCAGUCCACAUGGCCAGGAUAGCAUUAUCACAUACCAUCUAAUUUUCAUGAGGAGCUUAAUGAGGAGGAAGAAAUACAGUCUGUUGUUACAUCUCCAAGGAUAUCAAGCGGGAAGCCCAGUCAGAAGUGGCAGCAAAUACUGAAGUGUUACUUCUGUAGAGAGAUGUCAAACAGCCUCUGGAGCUGCUCUACAUGGCACACUGGACUACCUGCAGGACACUGAAAGUUGGAGGCAUGUGGCAGCAGCAGAGCAUAUGGUGGUGGCCUUGCGACAUAUUUCCCUUCCUCCCUGUGCUGGAACUGGAGCGGCAAGGAACACAUAGUGGCAGCAACUCCAGCUCUAACCCAGGGCACAUGCCAGGGGCUGGAGCUGGCCCUGUGUGCUCUGUCACUACCUGCUCCACUGCAUUCUUGAACUAUGGGCUGGAUCCAGCUCACAAUGAGGUCUGCAAUCCAGAUCCAGCCCAGAACACAAGAUGAGUUUGACACCCUUGACUCCCAAGAAUUGCAGCUUGUAAAUCAAAAACAUGAGUCCUACUAAGAUGUUUCAACCUUUAGGAAAUUUACCAUGUCUUUUAAUUAUAACAUUUUUUUUUUAGAAGAAUCAUCAAAAUUUCCUUUUGCAUUGUUUUCUGUAUAAGUCCAUGUUGUAUUCAGUGAAUUGCAAUUUAAAAACUUAUACUGUUCCUGACACGUUGUACAUAGUAACAUGCAACCAAGGAUUUAAAUUACAAACUGUUUAUGUAGUGUAAUUGAAUAAGAGUGGCACUGCAUGAUUUACUUUAAAAAUAGCAACAACGUCAAAAAAAGGCAGCGCCUCUGAUGCAAAGUUUGUUACAGAUUUUUGUGAUUCUGUCUACUUGCUUUCACUUCUCCUUAAUUAGAUUUCCUGUUUUUGCAAAGAGAAGGGUGACUUGGUCAAGCAGUAGGCUGGGAACAUGAUCUUUGCCACAGAGCUCUGGAUAGAAACAAGGAGAGCAAGAUUGCAUUUACCAAGGCCAUAGAAAAGCAGGUUUUAAUCAUAAUGUGAGAUUGUUACAGAUGGACAGGAAUCGCUGGAUCUGUGAGGUAUCAUGCAGAGAGUGUCCACAGUAUUUAGCCUGGAUGGAAGGUCUAGACCAGUGGUUCUUAAUGUUUCUACAUUUGAGGCAUCCCUUGUUUGACUUGAGGCACCCUUCUGUGAACUGAGCAGUACCCAUUUAAAAAAAGUAUUUAUUACAGUGCUUACCUCCUUGCAGAGCGGCUGGGUAGUGAAGGCAGGGCAGUUGCCAGGCAUGGACUCUCCUGAGCCUGCACUUAUCUCUUCACACCUGCUUAUUUCUUCACACUUUGCAACACACUUCCAAAGAUCUUGUGACACCCUGACUGAGAAUCACUAGUCUAGACAGAAGUCAGAGUCAAAAUUGGCACCUGAGUAAGUGAUAUCCAUGUGAUGAAGUCAAAGAUACAGGUCAGGAGUACAGAGGCAGAGCUGUGCAUUAGCAGCAUGGAGGUGGCAGCUGAAUUUGUGUUUGCAGAUGACUGGAAAGAAUGCAGAGAGAAAAGGAGGGGACCGAGGCCCAAGCACUGUGAAGCCUACAUGGAAAGUUGCAAUGGAGGUUGAGGAGGGUCCUCUGUAGGUUCCAUGCUGCAGGCGGGAUUAGUGAUGUAAGAGGAGAACAGAGAGAGGGUAGAGUCACAGAGACAAGGGCACUACCAAAAUCUGUAGAAGAUGAGCCUAGUCUGUCAUGUCACAGGGGGCUGAGAUGUCAAGGUGGAUAGAGAAGGAGAACUGGUUUGAGCUUUGUUUAGGAAGAGAUUAGAUUUUAGUGAGAGCAGUUUCUAUGCAGUACAAGGGAUAGAAACCAGACUGGAGAUGGCCUAGGAUAAAAAGGUGAGCUUUAGAUCAAUUGCCCCUGCCACCAUUUUUAAGUGUAGGGAUCCUGAUACAUGAAACGCUCUGGGCACUUUAAUUAGAGUCACUCUAAUUAAAGCUCCCCCCCACUCCCGGAGCACAUGUAUAAAUGCCCCAGAGGUAUCUAGACCUCAUGCGUAAAUUCUAUAGUUCCAAUUUUCAAACCAAAUUUUCAUUUUUUGCAGUAUAAUUUGUUUUCCAGUUUGGUUUUGGAUUCUAUAUUCACUAAUCCUUCUGUCAUCUUUGGGCUUGUAACUUGUCCUGUUUGAGCCAGGCUAGUCCCAUGUUUUUCAUAGAUACUGUUUUAUACUUUCAUUAUUGCUUCUUAACUAUCCAAGUCUAAAUAACACUGUGGAAUUUAUCCUUGUAGUUGCAAUCUUUGCCCCCUUCAUUUUGUUGUCCUCUUAUUUACUGAAUUGGUGAGGGGUGAGGGGCUUUCACUAGAUGGUGGGAUUAGAACAUUUGAACAUAAAAACUGCUACACUGGGUCAGACCAAAGGUCCAUCUGCUGAUAUCCUGUCUCCUAAAAUGCCAAAUAGCCAGUUUGAAGACACCCAGCCUUUUCAUUCUCUCCUCAUAUGGAAGCCAUUCCAUUCUCUUUGUUGCCCUUUUCUUUAGUACCUUCUUUAGUUCCACUGGCUGCAUCCACAUGAACAGGGGUGUGUGGUUGCAGCUGCACAAAUAGUAGCAGCACAAAUUUGUGCUGCUACUUUGUGCUGGAGUGUAUGCCUCUGCUUGUGCAGUUUUCAUUGGGACACAUUAUCCUGCUGCUCUGCAGGGAGGGCUGGCUGGGGCACAGGGUGCUUCAGUGAGGGGCUAGCCAGCAGGCAGCCCCCACUUUGAGGCGUCCUGUGCCUUAGCCAGCUGAGGAGUGGCAUGUGGAGAUGACGAAGCAGGCAGCCCUGGGCCCAGGGGCUGCCUACUCCCUCCAUCUCUGUGCACUGCAGAGCCCCCC
Alligator mississippiensis (American alligator) is the source of this 4468-nucleotide long non-coding RNA. RefSeq lists it as uncharacterized. The record is from RefSeq and is a predicted model, not a curated record. Lineage: Eukaryota; Metazoa; Chordata; Crocodylia; Alligatoridae. The transcript is spliced from 3 exons.